UUGAUCGUCCCCCCCCCCCUCCCGACCCUUCCACUUCGUCGUCAUCGUUUCAACUCUUCUAUGAAUCACCGUUACUCAAAACCUAUUACGUAUCCCCAGGUGUGUGUCUGGGUCUUUUUUAUCUAUUCAUCUUAUUAGUUUAUAAGAUUUCAGACAUGAUCUUGAAAUUCAUCGAUUUAUGUUACAUGUUUCGUAUCAUAGAUUUAUACUUCAUUAUGAACUCAGGCAACAACAUUCUGGUGGGUUGGUUUUAUAUGAUUAGUGUAAUAAUAUUUGGUUUGUAACAAAAUUAGAUUUUAAAAAAUGAUUGGUUGAUAUAUGAAGGUGAUGUGUGAUGCUUACACGCCGGCUGGGAAUCCAAUUCCAACCAACAAGAAGCACAACGCUGCUAAGAUCUUCAGCAACUCCAAAGUUGCCUCUGAGGAGCCUUGGUAUGGGAUUGAGGAAGAAUACACAUUAAUGCAAAAGGGUGUGAACUGGCCUAUUGGUGGCUUCCCUGGCCCUCAGCUUAAUCUAAUUAUCAUCUCAUCCUAAUGUUAUUACAACAUUUUCUUACAUAUCAUCUGAUGUAAAGUGUUUUUGGUGUUUGGCACAGGGACCAUACUACUGUGGUGUGGGAGCUGACAAAGCAAUUGGUCGUGACAUCAUGGAUGCACACUACAAGGCCUGUCUUUACGCAGGUAUUGGCAUCUCUGGUGUCAAUGGAGAAUUCAUGCCUGGACAGUGGGAGUUCCAAGUCGGUCCAGUUGAGGGUAUUAGUGCUGGUGAUCAAGUCUGGGUCGCUAGAUACCUUCUCGGGAGGAUCACUGAGAUCUCUGGUGUAAAUGUCAGCUUCGACCCAAAACCAGUCCCGG
Molecule: long non-coding RNA, 854 nt
Organism: Brassica napus (rape)
Lineage: Eukaryota; Viridiplantae; Streptophyta; Magnoliopsida; Brassicales; Brassicaceae
Exons: 3
Source: RefSeq, a predicted model, not a curated record